Molecule: ribosomal RNA, 253 nt
Filed under: uncultured bacterium
Lineage: Bacteria
Description: partial 16S ribosomal RNA
Rfam family: Bacterial small subunit ribosomal RNA
Source: RNAcentral
UACGAAGGGGACUAGCGUUGUUCGGAAUCACUGGGCGUAAAGCGCACGUAGGCGGAUUUGUAAGUCAGGGGUGAAAUCCCGGGGCUCAACCUCGGAACUGCCUUUGAAACUGCAGUGCUAGAAUCCUGGAGAGGCGAGUGGAAUUCCGAGUGUAGAGGUGAAAUUCGUAGAUAUUCGGAAGAACACCAGUGGCGAAGGCGACUCGCUGGACAGGUAUUGACGCUGAGGUGCGAAAGCGUGGGGAGCAAACAGG